CAAGCUGCUGAGGGUGAUGUAUGAAUGCUUUGGUCCAGGCACUGUCUCUGUUUGGGAUGCAAAACAGAUCUGUGUGUGCAUAUGCUUUCAUCUGCAGCUGACAGUGCAAAACAGAGCACUGCUAAGUGGCAGAAGUGUUUACUUAGUGGUUUCUCUAGCAAAUCUUCGCUUCACCUGAUGCCGUAUCCCCUUGUAAGAACAGACUGGAGAUUUGCUUGGUUGAUUUAUUGAUUAUUGAAAGCAGUGCUUUACUGCUGACUUUCCCAAAAGACUGCAGUGUUUGAUUUCAACUCUCCCUUGAUAUCGAACUUUCUGAAAGUGUGCUCAUUCAAGACACCCUGCAGAUGCUGUUUGAGGAGAGUGACAGCUACUCAGAAUGGGAAUGUUUGGGCCUGCAGAUACCUUUUAUCACUACAGCAACUCAGAAGCACUGUGCAGUACCCGCAAUGGCUUAACAAGAAUCUGAAGAGGUGUGGGAAGUCCCUUCAUCUUUCUGCAGCACAAAGCACUAAGAUCUACAGUGGAUAUAUCUGCUCUGAACUCUCUGGCAAAAGUAUACCUUUAUUAAUCAGCAGACUACUGUGGUUAGCUCCAGAAACACACCAGACACAAGAUCCCAGCAUGGAAUUACACUGCUCUUAUUCCUGUACAUCAGGAUUUAAGUGGAAGAGACCAGAAGAACUCACUGUGCUUCAGUGACUGAAGGUACCUGCAAUAAUUCACGUGAUCUCAAGAUACAUCCUAAGAUUCCUUAACUUCCUGGGCCUCUCUUGACUAUCUGGAAACAUUCAAAACCGCUGUGAAGCAAAAUGGAUAGGUUUCAAAUAAUGAAAUGAAACUUCAGAUGUUCUGACACGUGACAGUAAUUCAUAAAGUUUCCAGACAAUUCAAAAAGGCACUACAAGAACAAAAUUCCCAUGUUCCGCUUACGUACAUCAGCUCCUAGUGAAGAUUUUGUGUUCUUCUUUCACCACAAAGGUCCCAUUGUCAUGACACCCUAUGAAGAAUGGCUUCUCCAUGGACUGUUAUUAUUGUGGAGUCAAAUGCUCGUGAAAUGAUAAGCAUCCAAGGCCCAAAUGUAUCCACCAAAUUCCCACUCCCAGGGGUCAAACCACAGGCUCAGGAGGGCCUAGCAGUGAAAUGCUCUUGGGAUUUGUCUGUCCAUGUACAUGUCCAGGAGAACAAAUUGCAUGACAGGCUGUUGCGUGCCUCAUCUGAAGUACUUCAGUCAGUCAUAGGUAGUAAUGUCUUGCCUCAGAGCACACCAGUGAGACCAGCCUUGAAAGAAAGUAGAGUAAGUGGUGGCUCUGUCUACUUCAAUCCAGUAGUCCAAUGGUUUAUACGGUCUGGCAAGCCUCUGUGUAAAUACAGUAGGAACUAAGGCUUUUCCUCAAAAAGGGAAGAUGCUAUGGCUAAUUCAUUGUAGGCAUAUUGCCUUGGGGUAAGACAGGAUCCAUCACACUUGCUGAGUUAGGACCUGUAAGAGUCAGGAGCCAGGAGCCAGGAACUGGUGUAUCUCAAGGAUUGCCCUCCUACACUUCCAUGUACACCAUGUAAACUACCUGUGCUGGCUAUCUUAACUGAUUAGACUGAACACAUCACUGCAGCAGCCACAGACUUGUAAGAAAGAAAUAGUGCUGGAAGUUAACUUGAGAUGAGGGCUUACCUUUGGUGGAAAGAAAUCCUACCAUGUGUAUCUGCCUCACCAGUACAUGCCCAUCUCUGGCCAAAACUUAAGGAUUUUGUAUACAGUUUGAUCACAAUCAUCACCGUCAUCAGUUUGGAGCUUGAUGGUCCUUGAGGUCCCUUCCAAUCCAAGCAAUUCUAUGAUUCUGUGAUCAUAACCAGUCUAUGAUCCUUCAAAGUAUCUGGCAUUAAUAGGCCUCAGUGGUCAGGGAAACCACCCUGGCCUGUCCCUUUGAUGUCACAAUAUUAAAAAUAAGGUGGGCACAAUGCACAAAUCGCCAGAUAGCAUUGAGCUAGCAUACCCAGCCUCUUCCAUCCACAUGGGCUGCUGGGACCACAGGUGAUAAACAUGGCAUGCUGGUGGCAGACCACACUCUAUCAGCCCAGAAUCGUCCUGGAGGAGAAUGGUGCUCUGCAGUCGUUGCAGAGCACUUCUGAGAGCUACGCAAAAUACACCAGACACCAAGCUUCCUCUGGCUCCCUAAAACUUCUGCAUCUGAGCUCUCCCAGAAAUCAGCCCACAGUUUUCAAGACUUCUCUUUUGCCUGCAUAGAAAGCAAAGUAUAUAUCUCCAACAUACAUCUGCAUAAUUCGGAGCAAGCUGCGUUCAACCACUGUGCCUAAAGGAGAGACCUCUUGUCAGCCAGCCCAAAAGUCUGUUUGAAGGCUGGUUUACUGGCUGACUAUGAGAAGGCUGAAGCAGAAAAAGUUUUUCCUUUUCUUUGUGUUUUCUUUUAAAGAACUUUUUUUCCUAAGCGAUGCUCAAAGAAACACCUACUCCUCCAUGCAAUAUUCUCCGUGGGAGGGGAAAAUAUUCAAUGUACUAUGGAGAAACAUCAAUUAUUUUAAGAAAAAAUAAC
This 2546-nucleotide long non-coding RNA is filed under the name Gallus gallus (chicken). RNAcentral describes it as "lncRNA (ENSGALG00010003630.1)". The record is from RNAcentral. Lineage: Eukaryota; Metazoa; Chordata; Aves; Galliformes; Phasianidae.